RNAcentral lists this microRNA precursor (193 nucleotides) under Oryza sativa Indica Group (long-grained rice). Its description in RNAcentral is "MIR812 microRNA precursor family". It matches the Rfam family "MIR812 microRNA precursor family". Lineage: Eukaryota; Viridiplantae; Streptophyta; Magnoliopsida; Poales; Poaceae. The record is from Rfam by way of RNAcentral.
CCUGGUUUCCGUGUCCAAUAUUUGACCGUCCGUCUUAUUUGAAAAAAAUAUAAAAAAAUUAAAAAAAUAAGUCACGUAUAAAGUAUUAAUUAUGUUUUACCAUCUAACAACAAUAAAAAUACUAAUUAUAAAAAAAAUUUAUAUAAGACAUACAGUCAAAUGUUGAACACGGAAACUCAGGGUUUGUCUUUUU